GUCUCUAGAACAGACCAUUUGAUUGCCUACCGCGUCUUGUGUGCAAGAAUCACAUGUCGAGAGUUUCCUAACUCGAUAUUAUUAGAUUUUGUUUGAUUCAAUUGAAUAUCGCGCGCGCUACAAGUAGCCCUCUACCAUCUUUACUGAGUAAAAAAAGAAAAAACUUGACUGACCUAACCCAAUCUAAUCUAACUUAACCAAAAACUACAGACGCAGAAUAAAUUUGAAUCAAGCUCUUGAAAUGAUACAUUAUUUUACGUGUUGAGUUCACUUUAUUAAACAUACUAUUAAAAUAUUACGUUAACAAAAAUAAAUCAUAUCGUAAUAUUGUUAUGAAAGAGACAGUGCAUGAUUUGAAUAACACUAUGAAUGAGGAGCAUAUCCAUGGGAAUGGAGAGGCAACUAUUCCUGAAGAAUCUCCUGCAAAACAAAAAUUGAGAGGAUGGCUAAAUCGACAUCUGCGAAUUGAAAUGACUGAUGGAAGAAUUUUAAGAGGAGCAUUUCUUUGUACCGAUCGUGACGCCAAUGUUAUUCUUGGUUCAAGUACUGAGUUUCUGUCCACCGAACAUACAGAAGCCAGAGUAUUAGGUUUGGUAAUGGUACCUGGUCGACAUAUUGUUUCAAUACAUCUGGAUGCUUGAAAUGCAGCAUCAUUCUUAUUCUUCUGUAAAUAAUCCAUUGUGUGUAUUUAUUACAUUAAGUCAUUAUGAAUGUAACAUAUUUUUCCUAAAAAAAUUGAGUUUUUGUAUUUCAGAUAAAUUUGUAAACAUCAAAAGAUAUAAAUGUUAUCAGAUAUUAAUUUAUUUGUUACUGCACAUUUAUAUUUUACCCAGCUUUAAUUUUAUUAAAAUCAACUUAUAAAAGUCACAGAUAAAAUUAUAAGAAAAUUAAAAGUUAUAAUUACAUAUACUUGAUAGGAAAUUUUAUUCUAAUUUUACUAUAAAAAUUAAGUUUUAUUAUGAACAGUUCUAAAAUCCACUAUGUUCAAUAACAUUAAGAAGUAUAAAUUUAACAAAUUUAUACUUGCCAGAUUAAUAAAUAGUAUAAAUUUUUACUUGUCAGAUGUAUCUUUAGCUGGAAAAAACAAUGAAACAAUAAGAUUGCUGAAACUAUACAUAUGUAUUAAUAAAUCUCAAGAUUGCUCUCAACUUCUAUUUUCACAUUACUUAAUGCAUCAUCUAUCCUUUGACAAAGUGAGUUGGAUAGACUGUCCAUCCCAGAUAGAAAACUAAGCUCUGAAGCAGCCACUGCCAUUUUGUGCACAUAAUCCAUAUAGCCAGUUAAUUUCUAAUGAAAAAACAUCAAAUAGAAUAAUUUUCAACCUAAGUCUUUAUAUACAUUGAUAUUAUAUAAUGUAUUUAUCACUAGAAAAAAAUGUAUGUAUUAUGUAUUCUGAAGGUAAAGAGAAAUUAAUUUUAAUUUUAUGCCAAAAAUAGUUGUAAAAUUAUGUUGUAUAUAGCGCAAUGUAAUUAUUCUUUUUAAACAAUUCUGUAUUAC
Molecule: RNA transcript, 1497 nt
Organism: Odontomachus brunneus
Lineage: Eukaryota; Metazoa; Arthropoda; Insecta; Hymenoptera; Formicidae
Gene: Sbat
Gene name: N-alpha-acetyltransferase 38, NatC auxiliary subunit
Exons: 3
Source: RefSeq, a predicted model, not a curated record